AACGAACGUUGGCGGCGUGGAUCAGGCAUGCAAGUCGAGCGACGUAGCAAUACGGAGCGGCGAAAGGGGCAGUAGUGUGUGGGUAACCUACCCCGUGGACGAUGACAGCCAGGCUAACGCCUGGGUAAGCAUCGGCGAUCUACUCGUGUGGCAUCACAUGGGUAGUACACGUAAGGCCAUGGGAGGGGCUCACAUCGUAUUAGCUAGUUGGUGGGGUAACGGCCCACCAAGGCGAAGAUGCGUAGCGGGUGUGAGAGCACGACCCGCGCCACUGGCACUGAGACACUGGCCAGACUCCUACGGGAGGCUGCAGUCGAGGAUCUUCGGCAAUGGGGGAAACCCUGACCGAGCGACGCCGCGUGGACGACGAAGGCCUUCGGGUUGUAAAGUCCAAAGGUACCAAGGAAAACAAUGACCGAGGUACAGUAAGCACGGGCUAAGUUCGUGCCAGCAGCCGCAGUAAAAC
Molecule: ribosomal RNA, 466 nt
Filed under: uncultured bacterium
Lineage: Bacteria
Description: bacterial SSU rRNA
Rfam family: Bacterial small subunit ribosomal RNA
Source: RNAcentral